Molecule: long non-coding RNA, 1167 nt
Filed under: Oryctolagus cuniculus (rabbit)
Lineage: Eukaryota; Metazoa; Chordata; Mammalia; Lagomorpha; Leporidae
Description: lncRNA (ENSOCUG00000039061.1)
Source: RNAcentral
GGGCGUCUGGAAACCCAGCCUCGCCUCCAGGGGUGGGCAGGAAGACCCCUGGCAGGGGCCGGCGCCGCGGGCGGCCCUCCGCCUCUGCUGCCCCCUGGUGCGGGCGCCCACACCUCGCCCUCGACCCGCUACGCGACCGGCAGGUUAAUCCCUGUCCCUACACCUCUGUCCCGCACGGCCGCCCGCCCAGCCCUCCACCUCUGCAAACCGGCAGAGGGCCUACCCCUCUCUUCUCUCCUGUCCAGGGUCACCCAGGAGACAGGGUGUCCCUCCAGGCGCCCUCCUUCCCGCCCCCCCGGGGCCUCGGAUCAAGAGAUCAGACCCAAGCGGACGCUCCCACCCUCCUCGCCCACACCCACUCUCCGCCAAGCCGGGCCGGAGCUGAGAUUUCCCUGGCGCUGGCUCUGCAGUUGGUGCCAACCCCACAGAGCUGGCCCCUGGAGCACAAAGGCAGCUCUGCCAAGGUCACUGCGGUCGGAUGCUCCGCACUCCGCGUGGAAACACCAUACAGUCACUCGAAUAACAUUGGAGGCGCGGCCAGGCCCCCGGGCCAAUCCACAACAGCCACCCCCUGGAACUCGGUGUUGGAUGAGUGAGUCUGUGCCAAGCUGCCGCUCAGGAUGCCAGGCACACCGCCCGCUCCUGGCAGCCGCCGUCUCCCUCCCUCCCCACAGCUGCCCUGGCUCUAAGGAGCCACGGGAGGGGCUUCAGGGCAGAGCUCCAGGGCUGGGUGGAGGGGUGGGGCUGGGUGUGGGGGGUGCAGCUGCCCCGGCUUCUGGACAGGUGGGUGCUGGCAGUGCCUCCCGGACGGGGUGGGAGGAGAGAAAGGAGAGCGAGGUAGCGGCUUUGGGGGCAGAAUGUAGGCGGGAAGGGAUUCUGAGAAGUUCUGACUGCUUCUCAAAGGAGUUCCUGUUGAACCCGAAAGCGAAAGGGUGCCUUGGGUGGCGUUUGGAAAGGAACUGCAGGAUGGAAUUGUGCGCUGGCCAGACCCCAGUGCGGGUGGGGUGGGGUGUGCGGGGUGGGCCACAGCCUCCCAGCCGGCUGAGUAAGAGGGCUGUGACAUUAUGGCGGGGGAGCGCGAGGGGAUGGGAGGGUACUUGGGCCUGUCACACCCUUGAAGUGGCCUCCCAGCUUUGGGCUUUUAUUUUUGGCACCUGUGACACAUAG